This 277-nucleotide long non-coding RNA is filed under the name Bos taurus (domestic cattle). RNAcentral's name for it is "long non-coding RNA NONBTAT019330". Lineage: Eukaryota; Metazoa; Chordata; Mammalia; Artiodactyla; Bovidae. The record is from RNAcentral.
GUCUAACAAAUGCUAACUAAAAGCAAUUGUUCAUAAUAUUCUUCUUGUAAAAUACAUACUACCAAGACACUAUUAUGAUUUACCUUUAGGGAAAAUGAAUAGCAAAUAACUUCUACUGGUGAUAAAUACAUCUUGAAGUCAUAUCAUCUACUAUAGCAUCAACAUUACUAUACUUUAAAAGAAUAUCUUCACACUGAAAUAAACCAUAUGUAAGCAACCAUUUUCUCAUAAAAUAAUUUUGCUAUGUAAAAGGGAGAGUUUGACCCAUGAUUUCUAU